This 497-nucleotide ribosomal RNA is filed under the name uncultured bacterium. RNAcentral describes it as "partial 16S ribosomal RNA". It matches the Rfam family "Bacterial small subunit ribosomal RNA", at positions 28 to 507 of the family's 1533-position model. The record is from RNAcentral.
GAUGAACGCUGGCGGCGUGCCUAAUACAUGCAAGUCGAGCGAACGGACGAGAAGCUUGCUUCUCUGAUGUUAGCGGCGGACGGGUGAGUAACACGUGGAUAACCUCCCUAUAAGACUGGGAUAACUUCGGGAAACCGGAGCUAAUACCGGAUAAUAUUUUGAACCGCAUGGUUCAAAAGUGAAAGACGGUCUUUCUGUCACUUAUAGAUGGAUCCGCGCUGCAUUAGCUAGUUGGUAAGGUAACGGCUUACCAAGGCAACGAUGCAUAGCCGACCUGAGAGGGUGAUCGGCCACACUGGAACUGAGACACGGUCCAGACUCCUACGGGAGGCAGCAGUAGGGAAUCUUACGCAAUGGGCGAAAGCCUGACGGAGCAACGCCGCGUGAGUGAUGAAGGUCUUCUGAUCGUAAAACUCUGUUAUUAGGGAAGAACAUAUGUGUAAGUAACUGUGCACAUCUUGACGGUACCUAAUCAGAAAGCCACGGCUAACUACGUG